This is a long non-coding RNA of Lotus japonicus, 1378 nucleotides long. RefSeq lists it as uncharacterized. The transcript is spliced from 2 exons. Lineage: Eukaryota; Viridiplantae; Streptophyta; Magnoliopsida; Fabales; Fabaceae. The record is from RefSeq and is a predicted model, not a curated record.
AGUUAUAAUCUGACACGUGUCAUCUUAUUAUCCACAUCACUUCUAAUAUUUUAUUUUCGUAAUAUAUAUUUUAUUAUUUAAUUUAAUUGCAUAAUAAUCCCUACCAAUUUAGUUAAUAGCUUAGUAAUCCUUUAAUUUUAAAUAUAUCCCCAUUCCCCCAUUCACGUUCUUCUUCAUAAAAAAGAAAUCGUUCUUCCUUUCCUUUCGCCGGCGGCAACAACGACCUAGCGUGGUGCGGUGGUGGAUCUCCGGCAACCUAGCCCGCUUCUCCAACCAGCAUGCUGAUUUGUUGAGAAGAUUCAUUUCCCUUCAAAUUCACAUGCCUUGAUGAUGUUAAAUAUCAACCUCUGGUGUAUUUCCCUUCACAUUCAAUACACUCCCUGGCGACGUAAUUUGUUGCUGCCCUGUAUCUCCUAUCUGACUGGUGCGGUCUAUUCUUUUUUCUGUACUGUGCACUCAGCCUGCAUAGGCGCUGGUUUAGUGGUGUGGGCUGUGGAAUAUUUGUAGGCGAGUAUUCCGCUUGACCGGGGAAAUUGGAAAGGAAUCCUGGAUAGAAUAGUGGUCUACUGCAGUGAUGAGUUGCCCCUAAUCUAUUUAUCCCAUUGAGUUCUAUGUGUGUGCUGAUAUGCAUCUUGUUGAGUUACAUGUUCAAAAUUUAUUAAUCUUGGCUCCUUCGUUAGCAUCACUGAUCCAGGUGGCAGAUUUGAUGAAGGUAGCUUAUUGAUUGUGCUGCAUAGUGGCUAUUGGUCUUGGUUGUUGGAGGAUUGUGGCUACCUGUUUUGUCUCUAAUAGCUAAUAAAAUCCACAAAAGUCAACAAGGAUUUGUAUGCUGCGUGGAUCUGCCUUGUUGGCUUUAGGGAGCAUUUGAAUUACAAUGUGAUAUUUUAGUGCUCUCUUUGAUGGGGAUGGAGGGAUGGUUUAGAAUCAUGUUUAGGUUCAUCUUGUAGCAGCUAAGGUUGUUCUUAGGCAUGUCUUGUAUUUUAUCUUUAUCUUUUUAAACUAUAUAUUUGUAUUGGGUUGAAGUACCCCUUGUACUUCUCAUUCAAUACAUUGUUUUGCUUAUAAAAAAAAACCUCUGAUUUAUUUGGUUUAUUAAUGCAGCAACUAUAUACAAUUUGAGUGUGUCAUGCAUUGGAAUUAUUGGGAUCAUUACAUCGUCUAAAAAUCGACAACCAGGAGCCAUAGUCUGCAAGACCUCUCUAGUUGCUGGGAUAACAACAUGGUCCACGAGCACUUCUCUGUGAAUAUAGAAAUAGAAAUAAGAGGAGAAAUAUUGACAUUUUGUUUAUAAAGCUUAAGAAACUAUGUCAAAUCACAAAUGAAGAGUGUUAUAUAUGUUACUCUUUUGGAAGUGUAUCAGAGAAAAUGUAUUCAGCAA